Non-coding RNA from Cyanistes caeruleus (blue tit), 881 nucleotides. Lineage: Eukaryota; Metazoa; Chordata; Aves; Passeriformes; Paridae. The record is from RefSeq and is a predicted model, not a curated record.
UUUCUAACAUUUUGCAUUAACAUAUGCCCUUUUAUUACAGAUUGUUGCCCUUGCACUAAGUUCAGCUGUGUUGGAAUACAGGACAGAUUUAUGCCUGGCUACAGUGCAUCUACCAGGAAAUCUUACAGUCUUUACUAAAUAGAAAUAUUUAAUUUGUCAACCAGAAGUUUCCUCUAAAGUAUCCUGAUAACCUGGUAACUCAACCUGACAGCCUUCUCAAAGGAGAUGACUUCUGGGUGGCAAGGGGAGAGCAGGGGAUGUUGUUUACCUCAGCUUCAGUAAUGCCUUUGACAGUAUCUCUCACAACAACCAAGCAAACCAGUGAUGUGGUUUGGUCCAGGAAUAAUUCCAAACACCACUACAGGCUGGAAAGCAACUCCCUAAAGAAAGACCUGGGCAUCUUGAUGAACAAGCUAUGAGCCAACAAUGCACCCCUGCAGCAAAGCAGGCCAACAGUGUCCAGCAUUACAUUAAACAGAGCAUCACCAGGAGGUCAAGGGAGGUGAUCCCUCCCCUCUCCUCAGACCUGGUGAGACACAGCUGCAAAGCUGGGUCCAGUGCUGAGACGCCCAAAAAAGAGAGACAUAGCAUGGUGGACUGAGUCGACCAAAGGACCAGGAAGACUGAGAGGUCUUGGAGGAUCUGACAAAUGAAGAGAGGCUGAGAGAGUAGGCAGUGUUCAGCCUGGAGUAGCUCAAGAGCAUCCUAUUCAUCCUACCCACUCUUGAUGGGGGGAAGCCAAAAAGAUGGAGCCAGGCUCUUUUCAGUGGUGUCCAAUGACAGGAUGAUAAAGAACAGGCAGAAAUUCAAAUAAAGGCAACUUAAUUUAAAGACAAGAAAACUUCUCACUGAGAGAAUGAUUGAACACUGGACCAGACUGC